GGUUAAGCGACUAAGCGUACACGGUGGAUGCCCUGGCAGUCAGAGGCGAUGAAGGACGUGCUAAUCUGCGAUAAGCGUCGGUAAGGUGAUAUGAACCGUUAUAACCGGCGAUUUCCGAAUGGGGAAACCCAGUGUGUUUCGACACACUAUCAUUAACUGAAUCCAUAGGUUAAUGAGGCGAACCGGGGGAACUGAAACAUCUAAGUACCCCGAGGAAAAGAAAUCAACCGAGAUUCCCCCAGUAGCGGCGAGCGAACGGGGAGCAGCCCAGAGCCUGAAUCAGUGUGUGUGUUAGUGGAAGCGUCUGGAAAGGCGCGCGAUACAGGGUGACAGCCCCGUACACAAAAAUGCACAUGCUGUGAGCUCGAUGAGUAGGGCGGGACACGUGGUAUCCUGUCUGAAUAUGGGGGGACCAUCCUCCAAGGCUAAAUACUCCUGACUGACCGAUAGUGAACCAGUACCGUGAGGGAAAGGCGAAAAGAACCCCGGCGAGGGGAGUGAAAAAGAACCUGAAACCGUGUACGUACAAGCAGUGGGAGCACGCUUCGGCGUGUGACUGCGUACCUUUUGUAUAAUGGGUCAGCGACUUAUAUUCUGUAGCAAGGUUAACCGAAUAGGGGAGCCGAAGGGAAACCGAGUCUUAACUGGGCGUUAAGUUGCAGGGUAUAGACCCGAAACCCGGUGAUCUAGCCAUGGGCAGGUUGAAGGUUGGGUAACACUAACUGGAGGACCGAACCGACUAAUGUUGAAAAAUUAGCGGAUGACUUGUGGCUGGGGGUGAAAGGCCAAUCAAACCGGGAGAUAGCUGGUUCUCCCCGAAAGCUAUUUAGGUAGCGCCUCGUGAAUUCAUCUCCGGGGGUAGAGCACUGUUUCGGCAAGGGGGUCAUCCCGACUUACCAACCCGAUGCAAACUGCGAAUACCGGAGAAUGUUAUCACGGGAGACACACGGCGGGUGCUAACGUCCGUCGUGAAGAGGGAAACAACCCAGACCGCCAGCUAAGGUCCCAAAGUCAUGGUUAAGUGGGAAACGAUGUGGGAAGGCCCAGACAGCCAGGAUGUUGGCUUAGAAGCAGCCAUCAUUUAAAGAAAGCGUAAUAGCUCACUGGUCGAGUCGGCCUGCGCGGAAGAUGUAACGGGGCUAAACCAUGCACCGAAGCUGCGGCAGCGACACUAUGUGUUGUUGGGUAGGGGAGCGUUCUGUAAGCCUGUGAAGGUGUACUGUGAGGUAUGCUGGAGGUAUCAGAAGUGCGAAUGCUGACAUAAGUAACGAUAAAGCGGGUGAAAAGCCCGCUCGCCGGAAGACCAAGGGUUCCUGUCCAACGUUAAUCGGGGCAGGGUGAGUCGACCCCUAAGGCGAGGCCGAAAGGCGUAGUCGAUGGGAAACAGGUUAAUAUUCCUGUACUUGGUGUUACUGCGAAGGGGGGACGGAGAAGGCUAUGUUGGCCGGGCGACGGUUGUCCCGGUUUAAGCGUGUAGGCUGGUUUUCCAGGCAAAUCCGGAAAAUCAAGGCUGAGGCGUGAUGACGAGGCACUACGGUGCUGAAGCAACAAAUGCCCUGCUUCCAGGAAAAGCCUCUAAGCAUCAGGUAACAUCAAAUCGUACCCCAAACCGACACAGGUGGUCAGGUAGAGAAUACCAAGGCGCUUGAGAGAACUCGGGUGAAGGAACUAGGCAAAAUGGUGCCGUAACUUCGGGAGAAGGCACGCUGAUAUGUAGGUGAAGUCCCUCGCGGAUGGAGCUGAAAUCAGUCGAAGAUACCAGCUGGCUGCAACUGUUUAUUAAAAACACAGCACUGUGCAAACACGAAAGUGGACGUAUACGGUGUGACGCCUGCCCGGUGCCGGAAGGUUAAUUGAUGGGGUUAGCGGUAACGCGAAGCUCUUGAUCGAAGCCCCGGUAAACGGCGGCCGUAACUAUAACGGUCCUAAGGUAGCGAAAUUCCUUGUCGGGUAAGUUCCGACCUGCACGAAUGGCGUAAUGAUGGCCAGGCUGUCUCCACCCGAGACUCAGUGAAAUUGAACUCGCUGUGAAGAUGCAGUGUACCCGCGGCAAGACGGAAAGACCCCGUGAACCUUUACUAUAGCUUGACACUGAACAUUGAGCCUUGAUGUGUAGGAUAGGUGGGAGGCUUUGAAGUGUGGACGCCAGUCUGCAUGGAGCCGACCUUGAAAUACCACCCUUUAAUGUUUGAUGUUCUAACGUUGGCCCCUGAUCGGGGUUGCGGACAGUGUCUGGUGGGUAGUUUGACUGGGGCGGUCUCCUCCUAAAGAGUAACGGAGGAGCACGAAGGUUGGCUAAUCCUGGUCGGACAUCAGGAGGUUAGUGCAAUGGCAUAAGCCAGCUUGACUGCGAGCGUGACGGCGCGAGCAGGUGCGAAAGCAGGUCAUAGUGAUCCGGUGGUUCUGAAUGGAAGGGCCAUCGCUCAACGGAUAAAAGGUACUCCGGGGAUAACAGGCUGAUACCGCCCAAGAGUUCAUAUCGACGGCGGUGUUUGGCACCUCGAUGUCGGCUCAUCACAUCCUGGGGCUGAAGUAGGUCCCAAGGGUAUGGCUGUUCGCCAUUUAAAGUGGUACGCGAGCUGGGUUUAGAACGUCGUGAGACAGUUCGGUCCCUAUCUGCCGUGGGCGCUGGAGAACUGAGGGGGGCUGCUCCUAGUACGAGAGGACCGGAGUGGACGCAUCACUGGUGUUCGGGUUGUCAUGCCAAUGGCACUGCCCGGUAGCUAAAUGCGGAAGAGAUAAGUGCUGAAAGCAUCUAAGCACGAAACUUGCCCCGAGAUGAGUUCUCCCUGACUCCCUGAGAGUCCUGAAGGAACGUUGAAGACGACGACGUUGAUAGGCCGGGUGUGUAAGCGCAGCGAUGCGUUGAGCUAACCGGUACUAAUGAACCGUGAGGCUUAACCUU
RNAcentral lists this ribosomal RNA (2905 nucleotides) under Escherichia coli O158:H23. Its description in RNAcentral is "23S ribosomal RNA". It matches the Rfam family "Bacterial large subunit ribosomal RNA". Lineage: Bacteria; Pseudomonadati; Pseudomonadota; Gammaproteobacteria; Enterobacterales; Enterobacteriaceae. The record is from RNAcentral.